This 253-nucleotide ribosomal RNA is filed under the name uncultured bacterium. RNAcentral's name for it is "partial 16S ribosomal RNA". It matches the Rfam family "Bacterial small subunit ribosomal RNA", at positions 524 to 776 of the family's 1533-position model. The record is from RNAcentral.
UACGUAGGGGGCUAGCGUUGUCCGGAAUCAUUGGGCGUAAAGAGCGUGUAGGCGGUCCGGUAAGUCCGUUGUGAAAGUCAGGGGCUCAACCCUUGAAUGCCGGCGGAUACUGUCGGGCUAGAGUCCGGAAGAGGCAAGUGGAAUUCCCGGUGUAGCGGUGAAAUCCGUAGAUAUUAGGAGGAACACCGGUGGCGAAGGCGGCUACCUGGACCGAUAUUGACGCUGAGACGCGAAAGCGUGGGGAGCAAACAGG